GGGAGGAGGAGGCAGAUAGGACGAUAGCGGCGUUGCAUCGACGAGUACAGGUGCUACAGGCCAUAGUCAGGCGCCUACGCUCCGGACAGCUACCCAGGGACAGCUGAAGAAGACGCACACAGUAGGAGUGGAGGCAGCAGCAAUUACUGCAAUCAAUGACAGAUCUAUUCAGAUCACGGCUAGAUGAUCCCAAGGACAAACUUCUCACAAGGAUUGCAUAUAUAUCUAUCUAUCUAUCUAUCUAUCUAUCUAUAUCUAUCCAGCUAUCUAUAUAUCUCUAUAUAUAUAUAUAUGUAUAUAUACCACUACUUCCUAAUAACUUCAUAUUUUGUUUCUCAGUUACGACUCCAUUCUUACAAUCAAGUAAAUAUAUAUGGCGCCCCAGAAGUUGCUUUAAAAGUUGUUCCUACGCGUUUUUCCAGGAGCAACGCCGGUUACCCGGCUAGUUACUUCCUAAUAAUUCGUCCAUUGUCGUGCAAGCGUUUCAUGACAUUUAGAGCAUGACGCCAUGUAGGUUUAUAUAUAGGUUAAUACACGUGACAUGUUACGAGUUGUAUGUUAUCUAGAUAUGCAUAUCUGCAGGAGAGAAUAAUGUUCUGUAAUGUUUUAUAUUCACUAGCUCCUGAUAUUUUAUUUGUAGAUGUUAUUUUGUUACGUGUAUGUGAGUGUUUACAGGCUAGGGAGUGUAUGCAUAACUGAUGAAUGCAAUCACUAUAGAGCUUAAUUAAUAACUUAUAUAAUCGCCAGGUUCUAUACACAGUGGCUGAUCCAUUUAAUACUAGUCACUAUUAUGCACACAGCACACUAGUCGAACUCUCCCGGUUUCGAGAUUUUAAUCUUGCUUAUUAAAACCUAUACGUCUAUAUAAAUGUCUGAAUGUAUUGUAUAAAUGCCUUGGUAGUGAAUCGUGAUAUAAAAAAGACUUGCUACCAAUAAA
Molecule: long non-coding RNA, 937 nt
Organism: Priapulus caudatus
Lineage: Eukaryota; Metazoa; Priapulida; Priapulimorpha; Priapulimorphida; Priapulidae
Exons: 2
Source: RefSeq, a predicted model, not a curated record